CAUCCUCCAAGGCUAAAUACUCCUGACUGACCGAUAGUGAACCAGUACCGUGAGGGAAAGGCGAAAAGAACCCCGGCGAGGGGAGUGAAAAAGAACCUGAAACCGUGUACGUACAAGCAGUGGGAGCCCCACCACCAAAGCAUUCUCUGGUGUUGAAGGCCCUGCAAAGCAGCAUCGCGGUGGCGGAGCGUCGUUUGGCGASGSSCAGUGACACACAAGAACCUGAARCSGUGUACGUACAAGCWKUGGGAGYACAGGUUUACCUGUGUGACUGCGUACCUUUUGUAUAAUGGGUCAGCGACUUAUAUUCUGUAGCAAGGUUAACCGMAUAGGGGAGCCGSAGGGAAACCGAGUCUUAAYYGGGCGUUAAGUUGCAGGGUAUAGACCCGAAACCCGGUGAUCUAGCCAUGGGCAGGUUGAAGGUUGGGUAACACUAACUGGAGGACCGAACCGACUAAUGUUGAAAAAUUAGCGGAUGACCUGUGGCUGGGGGUGAAAGGCCAAUCAAACCGGGAGAUAGCUGGUUCUCCCCGAAAGCUAUUUAGGUAGCGCCUCGUGAAUUCAUCUCCGGGGGUAGAGCACUGUUUCGGCUAGGGGGCCAUCCCGGCUUACCAACCCGAUGCAAACUGCGAAUACCGGAGAAUGUUAUCACGGGAGACACACGGCGGGUGCUAACGUCCGUCGUGAAGAGGGAAACAACCCAGACCGCCAGCUAAGGUCCCAAAGUCAUGGUUAAGUGGGAAACGAUGUGGGAAGGCCCAGACAGCCAGGAUGUUGGCUUAGAAGCAGCCAUCAUUUAAAGAAAGCGUAAUAGCUCACUGGUCGAGUCGGCCUGCGCGGAAGAUGUAACGGGGCUAAACCAUGCACCGAAGCUGCGGCAGCGAACGUAUCACUUAAAGCGAUUCAGCGGGUUACGAUUGACGGAGCGAAGCGACGUCAAAGCGUAUACAAAGUCGAGUCGGUUUAAGGAUACGUUCGUUGGGUAGGGGAGCGUUCUGUAAGCCUGUGAAGGUGGCCUGUGAGGGUUGCUGGAGGUAUCAGAAGUGCGAAUGCUGACAUAAGUAACGAUAAAGCGGGUGAAAAGCCCGCUCGCCGGAAGACCAA
RNAcentral lists this ribosomal RNA (1104 nucleotides) under Salmonella enterica subsp. enterica serovar Cubana. RNAcentral describes it as "LSU rRNA". It matches the Rfam family "Bacterial large subunit ribosomal RNA", at positions 454 to 1349 of the family's 2925-position model. The record is from RNAcentral. Lineage: Bacteria; Pseudomonadati; Pseudomonadota; Gammaproteobacteria; Enterobacterales; Enterobacteriaceae.